UAACCUGGCAGGGCUACUAGCUGAGUUUAAGCAUAUCAAUAAGCGGAGGAAAAGAAACUUACAAAGAUUCCCCUAGUAACGAGUGCCCUUGGUGUUCGAAUUGGAGUCUUAAGAAGCAUCCUUAGUGGCGGACCAGGCUCAAGUCCCCUGGAAGGGGGCACAGGAGAGGGUGAGAGCCCCGUCGUGACUGGACCCUGUCAGACCACGAGGCGCUGUCGGCGAGUUAGGUUGUUUGGGAAUGCAGCCCAAAUCAGGCAGUAAUUUCUGUCCAAGGCUAAAUAUGGGUGAGAGACUGAUAGCAAACAAGUACCGUGACAGAAAGAUGGAAAGGACUUUGAAAAGAAAGUCAAGGAGUACGCAUUGAUCAGAUGCAGAACAGUGAGAGCCGGUCUGCUGAUCGACUUGUGGCACGAACCGAUGCGGAUUGCGAUGCCGGCCCAAGCCCAGGCUAUAGGUAUGCCAAUGGAGACGUCAUCAUCACGAUUGUGGUUGGCAACGUGCGUCGUCAUGGUGUGCUUCGAUAUCUAUGCGCUCCUCACAUCGACCUGUGGGCUCCCCAUUCGGUCAGUGAACCCGUAAGGUGCAAGGAAGCUAAGUGGCGGGAUCCCCAUGCCGGUUGCACCGCCAAUCGACCUUGAUCUUCUGAGAAGGGUUCGAGUGAGAGCAUGCCUAUCGAGACCUGAAAGAUGGUGAACUAUGCCUGAGGAAGGCGAAGCCAGAUGAAACUCUGGUGAAGGCCCAUAGUGAUACUAACGUGCAAAAUGUUCAUCUAACUUGGGUAUAGGGGCGAAAGAAUAAUUGAACCAUCUAGUAGCUGGUUCCCUCAGAAGUUUCCCUCAGGAUAGCUGGAGCCUACGGACGAGCUCUAUCGAGUAAAGCCAAUGAUUAGAGGCAUCAGGGGUGCAAUGCCCUCAACCUAUUUUCAAACUUUAAAUAGGUAGGAUAGCGCGGCUGCUCAGUUAAGCCACGCUAUGGAAUUGAGAGCUCCGAGUGGACCACUUUUGGUAAGCAGAACUGGUGAUACAGGAUGAACCGGAAGCUGGAUUACGGUGCCUAACUGUGUGCUAACCUAGAACACAAAAAGGGUGUUAGUCGUUUAAGACAGUAGGACGGUGGUCAUGGAAGUCGAAAUCUGCUUAGGAGUGUGUAACAACUCACCUGCCAAAUCAACUAGCCCCGAAAAUGGGUGGUACUAAAGCGCGCGACCUAUACCCGGCCGUCGGGGCAAGAGCUAGGCCUCGAUAAGUAGGAGGGCAUGGCGGUCGCUAGAAAACCUGGGGCACGAGCCCAGGCGAAACGGCCGUCAGUGCAGAUCUUGGUGGUAGUAUCAAAUAUUAAAAUGAGAACUUUGAAGGCCAAAGAAGGGAAAGGUUCCAUGUGAAUGGCACUUGUACAUGGGUUAGUUGAUCCUAAGAAAUGGGGAAAGCCCAUCUAACAGAGUGACCGGCAUGAAUUUUGAAAGGGAAUCGAGUUAAAAUUCCUGAACCGGGAUGUGGCAGCUGAUGACAAUGUUAAGAAGUCUAGAGACGUCGACGGGGGUCUUGGGAAGAGUUAUCUUUUAUGUUUAACAGCUUGCCCACCCUGGAAAUGGCUCAGCCGUAGGUAGGGUCCAGCUGCUGGAAGAGCACAGCAUGUCGUGUGGUGUCCGGUGUGCCCCCGGUGGCCCUUGAAAAUUCGAAGAAUCGAGUGCUUCCCAUGCUCGGUCCUACUCAUAACCGCAUCAGGUCUCCAAGGGGAACAACCUCUGGCCAAUGGAACAAUGUAGGUAAGGGAAGUUGGCAAAAUGGAUCCAUAAAAGGAUUGGCUCUGAGGACUGGGCACGACGGUCCCAGUCCCGAACCCGUCGGCUAUCAGUGGACUGCUCAAGCUACUCCCGCAGCGAGAGUGGUUCACCGCAUGUCGACCGAGGGAUGGACUGGGAAAAGGUCCCGUUGGGGGCCCUUCCCCAGGAGUCGAAUAGUCGACUCAGAACUGGUAUGGACAAGGGGAAUCUGACUGUUUAAUUAAAACAAAGCAUUGCGAUGGUCCCUACGGAUGCUCAAGCAAUGUGAUUUCUACCCAGUGCUCUGAAUGUCAAAGUGAAGAAAUUCAUCCAAGUGCAGGUAAAUGGCGGGAGUAACUAUGACUCUCUUAAGGUAGCCAAAUGCCUCGUCAUCUAAUUAGUAACAUGCAUGAAUGGAUUAAGGAGAUUCCCACUGUCCCUAUCUACUAUCCAGUGAUACCACAGCUAAGGGAAUGGGCCUGGCAGAAUCAGCGAGGAAAGAAUACCCUAUUGAGCUUGACUCUAGUCCAACUUUUUGAAAUGACUUGAGAGGUGUAGUAUAAGUGGGAGCCGAAAACGGCGAAAGUGAAAUACCACUACUUUUAAUGUUAUGUAACUUAUUCUGUGAAUCGAAAGUAGGGCACUACCCCUCUUUUUAGACGCAAGGCCUACCUCGACUGACUGAUCCGGGUGGAAGACAUUGUCAGGUGGGAAGGUUGGCUGGGGCGACACAUCUGUUAAAAGAUAACGCAGGUGUCCUAUGAUGAGCUCAACCAGAACAUAAAUCUCGUGUGGAACAAAAGGGUAAAAGCUCGUUUGAUUCUGAUUUCUAGUAUGAAUACGAACUGUGAAAGCGUGGCCUAUCAAUCCUUUAGACCUACAGAAUUUGAAGCUAGAGGUGUCAAAAAAGUUACCACAAGGAUAACUGGCUUGUGGCAGCCAAGCGUUCAUAGCGACGUUGCUUUUUGAUCCUUCGAUGUUGGCUCUUCUUAUCAUUGUGAAGCAGAAUUCACCAAGUGUUGGAUUGUUCACCCACCAAUAGGGAACAUGAACUGGGUUUAGACCGUUGUGAGAUAGGUUAGUUCUACCCUACUGAUGAUAGUGUCGCAAUAAUAAACUUAAGCAUAAUUGAGUGAAUGAAUAAAA
RNAcentral lists this ribosomal RNA (2908 nucleotides) under Ziziphus jujuba (common jujube). RNAcentral describes it as "eukaryotic LSU rRNA". It matches the Rfam family "Eukaryotic large subunit ribosomal RNA". Lineage: Eukaryota; Viridiplantae; Streptophyta; Magnoliopsida; Rosales; Rhamnaceae. The record is from RNAcentral.